GAUGAACGCCAGCGGCAGGCCUAACACAUGCAAGUCGAGGGGCAGCACGUCUUCGGAUGGUGGCGACCGGCGCACGGGUGCGUAACGCGUAUGCAACCGUACCUCUUACAGUGGGAUAGCCCAGAGAAAUUUGGAUUAAUACCGCAUAGUAUACAGAUUCAGCAUUGGGACUGUAUUAAACAUUUAUGGGUAAGAGAUGGGCAUGCGUUCUAUUAGUUAGUUGGAGUGGUAACGGCACCCCCAAGACAGCGAUAGAUAGGGGCCCUGAGAGGGGGAUCCCCCGACACUGGUACUGAGACACGGACCAGACUCCUACGGGAGGCAGCAGUGAGGAAUAUUGGACAAUGGGCGAGAGCCUGA
RNAcentral lists this ribosomal RNA (360 nucleotides) under uncultured bacterium. RNAcentral describes it as "bacterial SSU rRNA". It matches the Rfam family "Bacterial small subunit ribosomal RNA", at positions 28 to 386 of the family's 1533-position model. The record is from RNAcentral.